Vicugna pacos (alpaca) is the source of this 323-nucleotide non-coding RNA. The record is from RefSeq and is a predicted model, not a curated record. NCBI's taxonomy places the organism in Eukaryota, Metazoa, Chordata, Mammalia, Artiodactyla, Camelidae.
CUUCCAGUAGGCGAGAGAGCAGAGUGCAGACAACAGAUGUGAGAAAGGUCCUCAUAGCUGUCAAGUUCCAGCAUCCUUGUGCUGAAGAAGGGGUGGUGCCAACAUGACUGAUGUUCAGAGGGAAUAUAAAAGCCCUGGACUUCGCCCCAACUGCUUGUCACACUGACCUGCACCAUCUCCCGACUGCUCCUGGGGUUUCUGUCAACUAGUCCUGGAGGGGAACAAACUCUUUGGAGAAUAACAUUUUACUGUGACCAUGCCAGAACCCACCAAGAAAGAGGAAAAUGAAGUGCUGGCCCCUGCCCCAGCUCCACCCCCAGAAG